This 682-nucleotide unclassified non-coding RNA is filed under the name Hevea brasiliensis (rubber tree). Lineage: Eukaryota; Viridiplantae; Streptophyta; Magnoliopsida; Malpighiales; Euphorbiaceae. The record is from RNAcentral.
CGGAAAACAGGAUCUUCCCAAACCUGGGAUGAAAAGAAAAUUACCACAAUGAUAAAUGCCAUAAAAAAUAUAAAUAUACUUAAUAGUUUAUGAUCAGCAAUAAAUUCCAAUACAAAAUAGAACAAAAAAAAUCCAUCAGAUACGGUGGACUAAUCCUCCAUAUAGUUAUUCCAUCUCCUUGACAGCCUCCAGUUUGAUAGGCAAUCGUUGAUUAGUGCAUGGCUCAUCAAGACAAACAGCGGCCACACUUCCCCAACAAUAAAACUAUGUGAAUAAAUGAUCUAUAGUUCCAUCAUAAGACAAAUGACAGCAAAAAAGAACAAUCCUCCUGUCCACCAAAUUCUCAGCUAAAUGAAUGAAUUCUAAAGAAACCAUCCAUGCAUGCCAAAUGAAAGGAAAAUUAAUUAAUAGAUAUAACCUGCCAAAUAAUCCUGCUACGAAAUGGCCUUCAUUAUUUCCUAGAAUCUACAAGAUAAUUUAUCACCUUCCUGAUUCCUAGCCAAGCUCCAACACAGUUUGUCCACAGCACAUCCUCACUUCUCACAACCAAGUAUAGAAUAAUGAACAAAUAAUACAAAUAUAGCUGCCUCACAAGAUUCAGUAUCAAGGAUGUUGAGUUACCCUGAUGGUUACGAAUAGAUCACCAGGUUGAUUUCUAUCUGGGUCUGCUCCACCACUUCUU